RNAcentral lists this ribosomal RNA (445 nucleotides) under uncultured bacterium. Its description in RNAcentral is "partial 16S ribosomal RNA". It matches the Rfam family "Bacterial small subunit ribosomal RNA", at positions 329 to 792 of the family's 1533-position model. The record is from RNAcentral.
AUCCAGACUCCUACGGGAGGCAGCAGUGGGGGAUAUUGCACAAUGGGGGGAACCCUGAUGCAGCGACGCCGCGUGAGCGAUGAAGGCCUUCGGGUCGUAAAGCUCUGUCCUCAAGGAAGAUAAUGACGGUACUUGAGGAGGAAGCCCCGGCUAACUACGUGCCAGCAGCCGCGGUAAUACGUAGGGGGCUAGCGUUAUCCGGAAUUACUGGGCGUAAAGGGUGCGUAGGUGGUUUCUUAAGUCAGAGGUGAAAGGCGACGGCUCAACCGUAGUAAGCCUUUGAAACUGGGAAACUUGAGUGCAGGAGAGGAGAGUGGAAUUCCUAGUGUAGCGGUGAAAUGCGUAGAUAUUAGGAGGAACACCAGUGGCGAAGGCGGCUUACUGGACUGUAACUGGCGUUGAGGCUCGAAAGCGUGGGGAGCAAACAGGAUUAGAUACCCUGGUA